GACGAACGCUGGCGGCGUGCCUAAUACAUGCAAGUCGAACGCAGUGGGGCCGGGUGAGUAACCCGUGGGUAACCUCCCAUCAGAGGGGAUAACACUUGGAAACAGGUGCUAAACCGAUAUUGAUGUAUGGACCCGCGGUGCAUUAGCUAGUUGGUGAGGUAACGGCUCACCAAGGCCACGAUGCAUAGCGGGCCUGAGAGGGCGAUCGGCCACACUGGGACUGAGACACGGCCCAGACUCCUACGGGAGGCAGCAGUAGGGAAUAUUCGGCAAUGGGCGAAAGCCUGACCGAGCAACGCCGCGUGAGGGAAGAAGGUUUUCGGAUCGUAAAAUGCUGUUGUAAGAAAAGCGGUACCUAACCAGAAAGCAACGGCUAACUACGUGCCAGCAGCCGCGGUAAUAC
Molecule: ribosomal RNA, 403 nt
Filed under: uncultured bacterium
Lineage: Bacteria
Description: partial 16S ribosomal RNA
Rfam family: Bacterial small subunit ribosomal RNA
Source: RNAcentral